Molecule: long non-coding RNA, 689 nt
Filed under: Ficedula albicollis (Collared flycatcher)
Lineage: Eukaryota; Metazoa; Chordata; Aves; Passeriformes; Muscicapidae
Description: lncRNA (ENSFALG00000028468.1)
Source: RNAcentral
UACUGGUCAUGGCUCUCUGGUGUGCCUGCCUGGAAUCCCAGCAGCCUGCCUCUAAUAUAUUGUUGUGUUCUUUGCAGGCCUACUGAUUCCUGGGGGCUCUUGUUCUACUCUACAGCCUGUACGUGAGAAGACAGCAGGAAGAAACAAGGAGUCAGUCUCGUGUAGUAACCCAGUCAGCUCAAGUUUGAAGUAAAUCCUACAGAAUCACUGAAUGGUUAAGGUUGGAAGGGACACCACUCACAGUGAGAUUCAGGAGGAGCAAAAGAUGUGUUUAGGCCUUGUUGUAGCCGUCUCCUGCUGCUGACUUAAUUAAGACCUGCCAGUCUGAGACCAGCUCUUCCCAGCGGUCUGCCGCAGUCUGUCACAGCCUGCUUUCAGCGUGACAGGUAAGGGCAUGGUGGCACUCAGCCGUCUCCUGCUGCUGACUUAAUUAAGGCCUGCCAGUCUGAGACCAGCUCUUCCCAGCAGUCUGCCGCAGUCUGUCACAGCCUGCUUUCAGUAGCCGUCUCCUGCUGCUGACUUAAUUAAGACCUGCCAGUCUGAGACCAGCUCUUCCCAGCGGUCUGCCGCAGUCUGUCACAGCCUGCUUUCAGCGUGACAGGUAAGGGCAUGGUGGCACUCUGUUCUGUUUGCCUUGUGCACUUGUGCACAGAAAGGAGGAUGUCAGCUGUCCCUACACCAAACUGCAC